RNAcentral lists this transfer RNA (85 nucleotides) under Chitiniphilus shinanonensis. RNAcentral describes it as "tRNA-Leu". It matches the Rfam family "tRNA". Rfam says of the family: Transfer RNA (tRNA) molecules are approximately 80 nucleotides in length. Their secondary structure includes four short double-helical elements and three loops (D, anti-codon, and T loops). RNAcentral also lists the same sequence under 5 other names. Lineage: Bacteria; Pseudomonadati; Pseudomonadota; Betaproteobacteria; Neisseriales; Chitinibacteraceae. The record is from RNAcentral.
GCCCGGGUGGCGAAAUCGGUAGACGCAGGGGAUUCAAAAUCCCCCGCCGCAAGGCGUGUCGGUUCGAGUCCGACCCCGGGCACCA